AUUGAACGCUGGCGGCAUGCUUUACACAUGCAAGUCGAACGGUAACGCGGGGCAACCUGGCGACGAGUGGCGAACGGGUGAGUAAUGCAUCGGAACGUGCCCGGUAGUGGGGGAUAACUGCUCGAAAGAGCAGCUAAUACCGCAUACGACCUGAGGGUGAAAGGGGGGGAUCGCAAGACCUCUCGCUAUUGGAGCGGCCGAUGUCGGAUCAGCUAGUUGGUGGGGUACGGGCCCACCAAUGCGACGAUCAGUAGCUGGUCGGAGAGGACGACCAACCACACUGGGACUGAGACACGGCCCAGACUCCUACGGGAGGCAGCAGUGGGGGAUUUUGGACAAUGGACGCAAGUCUGAUCCAGCCAUGCCGCGUGCGGGAAGAAGGCCUUCGGGUUGUAAACCGCUUUUGUCAGAGAAGAAAUCUUCUGGGUUAAUACCUCGGGAGGAUGACGGUAUCUGAAGAAUAAGCACCGGCUAACUACGUGCCAGCCGCCGCCGUAA
This 498-nucleotide ribosomal RNA is filed under the name uncultured bacterium. Its description in RNAcentral is "partial 16S ribosomal RNA". It matches the Rfam family "Bacterial small subunit ribosomal RNA", at positions 29 to 523 of the family's 1533-position model. The record is from RNAcentral.